This 20705-nucleotide long non-coding RNA is filed under the name Gossypium raimondii (Peruvian cotton). RNAcentral's name for it is "long non-coding RNA (GRAI_LNC006718)". Lineage: Eukaryota; Viridiplantae; Streptophyta; Magnoliopsida; Malvales; Malvaceae. The record is from RNAcentral.
CAAUAUCAAGCCCAAUUUAAAGUCAACCCGGAGUUGGGUUGACCCGAUACCCAUCCAAAUUCGACUCGUUUCUUUCUUUUGCUAACAAUCCACUCAGUAUCUCCUCCAUGGAAGCAUCGAAUCCGUCCAUCUGCUCCACUUUGUCUCUCAUCUCCAUCCAAUCCUGAACAUCGAAAUUCCCUAUUUACCCUCCUCGCCCUAUCAAAUUUCCCCCAUCGCCCGAAUUUUCCAUGGCUUGACCCGGAAAUCCGACUCAAAUGGACUCUCUGCAAAGUCUCCCUCCACUAUCGACUCUGUCCACCUCAGUUUCCUCCGCCCUCAACGCUAAACUCGGCACCAACCAUGAUCUAACCCAAGCACCAAGUAUCGUCGCCGAGUUUCUGACUCAGUGCGAUGAUCUGGAACGAAAUCUAGUCCACCUCAACCGCACCCUCGAGUCAAACCUCGCAUCUUACGCUUCCUACGGAGUUGAUGAAUAAUUGAAUGUUGAUCCUAGUGAUUUACUUAAUCAAGGAUUAUACGAGGAGCCUGAGUCUGAUUUGAUAAUACAAACUCUUACGGAGCGAGAAGAAAGAGAAGAAACAAGAGAAUGGUCUGCUAAGAGAGACGAAAUUACACAAUCUAUGUGGACUAAUUAUAUGGUUAGAAAUAUUAGGUAGGUUUAGGGCUUAGGGUUAUUGUUUCUAUGUUAUGUAUGUUUUAAUAUUAAAAUUGUUUUUUUUUGUUAAUGUUGGUUGGAUAAUGAUAUUGAAAUUUUAGUUUGUUGGCUUUUGAAAUUAUUAUGUCUUGAAUUUGAUAGAUAUUGAUUAUGUUUUAAGCUUGUUAGAUAUUGAAUUUAUUAUGUUUUAAGCUUGUUGAAUAUUGAAUUUAUUAUGUUUUAAGCUUGUUGGAUAUUGAAAUAAUUGACAAUGACAAUUAUUAAUAUAGAAUGGGUAAGGGCAACAAAGAAGGGACCUCCAAGCAAUUCUGGUGGACAAAGUCGAUAUAACAUCUUUUUCUUGAAAUUCUAGCAUAUGAGGCCCAGAAAGGAAAUAAACCUUUUAAUACUUUCAAAGAAGUUUCUAUUAAUCGAGUUGCUGAAGCUAUUUCUAAAAGAUUUCAAGUCCAAUGUGAUGCGAAGCAUGUGGAAAAUCAUUUGAGGACUGUAAAAAAUCAGUAGCAGAUUAUAUGUACAAUUCGGGGUGAAAGUGGUUUUGAAUGGGAUGAUAACAUGAAAAUGAUCACAUGUGAUAGAGCGACAUAUGAUGCAGCAGUGAUGGUAAUAUAUGUAUAUAUAUGUUAAGUAUAUUUCAAUUGUUUUUUACUUGUUAUUCUAAUUGUGUAUAAUAUCCAACAGUCACACAAGAAGUAUGAACCAUUUUUGAAUAAAAGCAUUGAUCAUUAUGAUGAAAUGACUUUGGUUGUUGGAAAAGAUAUGGCAACAUGGAGUUUUGCCAGAACAUUUGCUGACAUAGAUUUGGAUGAUGGUAACCAAGAUUCAGUGCCUAUAGACUGCGACAAUGAAGAAACUGAAGAGGUAAGAACAAAAGUAUCUUCAUCUGGCACAUCCAAACGUAAAAGAAAAAAUGUUCAAGAAAGUGUCGUUCAUGAACAAAUUAAAUUUGUGGGUAAACAACUUGGCAAAAUUGCUAAUGCUUUGGAACAAUUUACUGCGGAUAAGACACCACAUCUUUACGAAGAAGUGAUGUCGAUGGAGGAAGAAGAAUUUGAUGAUGACUUCCUGUGUUCUGUGUUUGAUUAUCUAGUGAAUCAUGAAUGCGAGCCCAAAGCUUUUUUAGUUAAAAGUAAGAAGCGUAAAAAGAUUUGGCUUCAAAAAUUUUCUCAAGGUUGAAGAUAUUGAUACUUUUUUUAAUAUGGAGUAAUAUUAGUUAUGCACUUGGACAAUGUUGUUAUUAUGUGGUGUACUACUAAUUAUGCAUUUGGAUAAUAUUAUUAAUUUCUAGUAUUAAUUGUGGUUUGGAAGCUAAUUUAUAAGUAUUCAAUCCUUGUUUUUUUUUUUUUAUAACACAAUUACAAAUAAUUUUUUGACUUUGGUUGUUUUCAAUUUAUGACGGUUAAUAUUCUAGCUUAAUAAUUGAGUAUUAUUAUAUAUUUAAUUUUAUUUAUUUAUAAAUAAAUCAUUGCAAUAUAUGUAAAAAUAAUUUAAAAUAUAAAUUUAUUAAUAUAUGUAAAAGCAGAUUUUCCGGAAAAUAUUUUCAGGAAAUCUGCUAAACAACAGCAAAUAUUUUACACAGAUUCAUCCAAACACCAGAAAAAAAAUCAUUUCCAGAAAAGUAAAAUAUUUUCCAAAAAUCAUUUUCCAGAAAAUAUUUUACUGGAAAACAAACGGAGCCUAAAACCCAUUCAUUUUACCCGUGUCUUGGAAAACAUUUUCCAAAUGUAAAAUAUUUUCAAGCUUCCAAACACCGUAAAACCAGGAAAAUAUUUUCCUGGCAAACAAACGGACCCUUAAUUUCAACCAUAGAAUAACAAAAAAUAUUUUUUUUUGCAUAUUGAAACAUAACAACUGAAAUACCAGAACACUAUAAAGAAUAAUUCUUCUUGACUAACUAAACAAAAAUUAAGUGCUUUUGCUUAAAUUUAAUAAGAAUUUUAGAAUUCCUAUAAUCUAUGACAUUUUAGAACUCUCACCUGCAUAUGCUCAGACCGCUUCCACUCUGGCCACCUCCUUAGCCAACAACGACAACUCCUCUCCCAACCCUUCUCCAUCUAUAACACAGAAGUUUUCGCAUAGAAAAAGAAUAAGAUAAAACCAGUGCUCUUCAUGUACAAACUCAAAAACAAAAGAAGAAGAAGAAGAAGAGAAAAUCAAUAUCAAACUCAAAAACUUUGCUUUCUCUCUUUUGCACUUCAUUUAAAAAGAUUAUUGAUAAUAGAAGGUGAGAAGUAUUGGCCCUGAGAUACCAACAAAUAUUAUCUGAAUGUUUGCAGCGCGCUCAAUGGAAGAGGUCGAUGUGCUAUGUGAUCGAUUAGGAAUUUUUGUAGAUGGCGCGUUACAGUGCAUAGGAAAUGCAAAAGAGGUUAGUUUGGCUCUAAUAGUAAUUUUCUCAACUUGAUAAAACUUUCAUUCCUCUCAUCUUUUACACAGUAGACACCCUAUCCAUAGACCAGAGCUUUUGAACUAAUCCUCUUAUCUGCAAAAUUUCUAUUCUAUUAUAUUUAAGAUAUCUAUUUAAUCUUCUAUUUUUUUCCAAACACUUUCUUCUAAAGUUUGUUUGGGUGUUUGGUGUGAGAAAAGCUAGGUUAACCUAUGAUUGGUGUGUAUGGCAACUGAAGGGCAGAUAUAGAGAAUCUUACAUAUUCAUUAUAACAACAUCUUCAAGUAAAAAGGAAGAAAUGGAGAACAUGGUACAAUAUCUCUCCCUAAAUGCUAACAAGAUAUACCGAAUCUCGGGAACACAGAAGUUCGAGAUGCCAAAGUAAGAGGUGAGAAUAGCAGAUGUAUUCCAAGCAGUUGAGAAUGCAAAGAGUAGGUUUACAGUGUUCGCAUGGGGUUUGGCUGACACCACUCUUGAGGAUGUCUUCAUCAAGGUUGCUCGUGGGGCGCAGGUCGUCAAUAUAUUAUCAUGAUUCUCACAUUCUCUUCUUUUUAUUAUAUCUACGAUGUUCAUAUAUGAUAAACUAUUUCAUUCUUUUUUUCUUUUUGAACUAGAAGCAUUUCGUUCAUCUGGAGAUAUGGUUGUAGUGUUGUUUUUUGUUUUUGUCAUAUACGCAUUUACUUUGUAAAUGUUAAGUAUGACUCCUAUUUCAGUCAAAUUUGAGAAAUAAUCUUUUAGUUAAACUCUGUUUAUUUGUUUCAAUCAAACACUGAUUAGUUUAGAUUAUUUUAUUAUUAUUUGACAUAUGAAUUUAGGCUAUAAAUAGGCUCUUUUACAACCUUAAAAAUUACACCCAUUAGAUAUUAGAACUCAUAACACAUUUAGAGAAUUUUGUGUUUACGUUUUGAAGGUUCUUUAUUUUUGGGUUUUCGGGGUUUAGUUUUUAUCUCCAUCUUUUUGUACUUUUUGUUUCUUUUGCCAUUAUAGUAAAAUUAUCUUUGCCCGUAGUUUUUAUCUUCUUUAGAGGAGUUUUUCUACGUUAAAUUUGUGUGUUCAAUUUCUUAAUUUCUUCUGUUAUUUUUACUUGUUCCUUACUUAAUCGGGUCAAUCUCUAACAAGUGGUAUCAGAGCUAGUUCAAUUUUCAUAAAUCAGCCCAUUCAGAUAUGACAGCAACAAUGUUUGAAAUUGAGAAGUUUGAUGGUGAGACAAAUUUUAAUCUCUGGCAAGUUCGGAUGAUAGCAAUUCUAGUUCAAUCCGGUUUGAAAAAGGUUGUUACCGAAAAAAAGCCUAAGAAUCUAAAUAAAACAGAAUGAGAAGAGCUUGAUGAAAAGGCUUUGUCUGCAAUCUAGUUGUGCUUUCGAAUACGGUAUUACAGGAGGUAUUGAUGGAGAAGACCUCAUCUGCCUUGUAGAACAUGUUAGAAACUCUUUAUGUAACUAAGUCUCUGGUUAAUCGUUUAGUGUUGAAAUAACGUCUAUUUACGUUUCGCAUGAACGAAGAUGAGCUUCUUAGAGAUCACAUCAGUCAAUUCAUUACUCUUUUAAAUAAUUUAAAGAAUGUUGAGGUUCAUAUUGAUGAUGAAGAUCAAGUUAUACUAUUAUUGUGCUCUUUACCCCAUUCAUACAAGUCUUUCAGGGAGACCUUGAUUUAUGGCAGAGACAAACUCUCGUUCGAAGAUGUGAAGGGUCAUUUGUUGAGUAGAGACAAACUUGACAAUGAGCUUCAUUUGGAUAGCAAGGCAGAUAGGCAAGCUUCUGUUUUGAUAGCAUCAAAGAAAUGAGACAAAAGGUGUCGCUAUUGAAAAAAGUUAGGUAACGUCAAAGCAGAUUGUUAUAAACUGUGAAAUAAAAGAACUGCUAAAAGUAACGAGGAAGAUGUAACUGGUGCUAAUUUGGCCGAUGAAAGCGGUGAUGAUUUUUUGUUAGUGUCAACGAGCGAUAACUCCAAGCUCACGUCCGAGUGGAUCCUAGAUUCAGGAUGUUCUUUCCACAUGUGUCCCAAUAGAGAAUGAUUCUCCACAUAUAGUUCGGUUGAAGGUAGAGUUGUGCGCAUGGGAAACGAUUCAUCUAGUAAGGUAAUUGGUAUUGGUAUUGUUAAAAUUAAGAUACACGAUGGGACGAUUAGGAUAUUUUCAGAUGUCAGGUAUGUACCUGAUUUACGAAAGAAUCACAUCUACUUGUGUAUUUUAGACUUGAAAGGAUGCAGAAUCAACAUCGAGUCGAGCGACAUUAAAGUAUCUCGUGAAGCUAUCAUUUUGUUAAAAGGUAAAAGAACUGGCAGUCUUUACAUUCUAGAAGGUUCUACAGUGACUGGUGAAAUCGGACAUCCCUCGUCCGUUACAGAGUCGAAGUCAACUCGUUUGAAGCGGAGACAACUUGUUCAUGAGAGGAAAAAAUGUAUGACCGUUUCGUUGAAGAGAGUUUUUUUUUGGAUGCAGGUUUUAAAAAGUUAGGGCACUGUGUUCGUGAAAAUCAGACCCGGGUUAGUUUUGAUUUGGCAGUGUACAAAUCGAAGGUUAGAAGUCUUCCAGUUUCUAAGCACAGAUUCGACUCAAUUAAUUCCCUGCAUAGUUCAGGAUAGGCUCGUGACGAGCUUUGGCAAAGAUGGUGUUGUAGAAAUAUGAGUCAAGGUGGAGAUUUAUUAAGUAUGACUCAUAUUUCAGUCAAAUUUGAGAAAUAAUCUUAUAGUUAAACUCUGUUUAUUUGUCUCAAUCAAACACUGAUUAGUUUAGAUUAUUUUAUUAUUUUUUAAUAUGAAUUUAGCCUAUAAAUAGGCUCUUUUACAACCUUAGAAAAUACACCCAUUAGAUAUUAGAACUCAUAACACAUUUAGAGAAUUUUGUGUUUACGUUUUGCGGGUUCUUUGUUUUCGGGUUUUCGGGGUUUAGUUUUUAUCAUUAUCUUUUUGUACUCUUCGUUUCUUUUGCCAUUAUAGUAAAAUUAUCUUUGUCCGUGGUUUUUUAUCCUCUUUGGAGGAGUUUUUUCACGUUAAAUUUGUGUGUUCAAUUUCUCAAUUUCUUCUGUUAUUUUUACUUAUUUCUUGCUUAAUCGGGUCAAUCUCUAACAAUAAAUGAAUUGGAUUCUCCUUUCUUAUUUAUGGAUUAUAUAAAACUAGAAUUUGUGUUACAAGAGAAUGUAAGAGAAUGUGUGUGAUGCUACUCUAUAAUAUAAUGUAAAGAAUGUGACAAUGUUGCUUCUAGCAAAGUGGGGUUGCAGCAAGAAGAGAUUAUGGUGGCUAAGCAUCCACAAGUGAGGUCAAGUAUAAAAACUGAUGUAAAAGUAACAUAAUUUUGUGGGUUAUUUGAAUGAUAAUUUACAUUUGAUGCAUUUUAAAUUAACCAGUUAAUUGACUUAUAAUUCCCAUUAAAAAAAACCUUUCAUAUAAAAUUAGCACUUGUAGUACAUUGCUACUUAAAUUUUUUUUGGAUACUGGCAUAAUAAUCCCAAUGAGAAGGAGACCUCUCACCUCAACACGGCCAAGUUAUUAUUAAGUGAAUAAUAGGUAAAAGAUUAAAAAAGAAAAAGAAAAAUAUGAAAAUCAAAUUGGAAGUUUUAAAAAUAUAUAAAAAUUCUGAAAAUUUUAACAAAUCAAUAUUAAAAUAAAUUAAAACUUUAGAAAAUAUAAAAAUAAUAUUUGCUUAAAACUAUAUUUCUUAAAUGGAGCUACUGUGUUUGUAAUUGAAAUUAUCUUAUUAUAAAAUUUACCUAAUUCAAGUUUAAUUUAUCUAAUUUUCUUAUUCUAAAGAUGAAUUAUAAAAUUUUGGUAUAUUAAUUUAAAAUUUGAUAAAUUUUGUAAAGUAAAUUUAUCAUUUUGGGUUAAAGCCAUUACCUACGAAUUACCCAUUACAAUUAUAAUUAUUUGUGUAUGUAAUAAAUAUACAUAAAAUGAUGAUAUAAAAAUUAAAUUAAAAUAAAAAUUUUGAUACGUGUAAUUCAGUCCAUGUGUGAACAGAGAGCUGGAAUGGUAGGAAUAAUAAAUUCUUCAUAUUUGGAGAUUAGUUAGAGUAAGAUUUUUGAAGUUUUCUGAGAGAAUCUGACAUAAAUGAGAAAAGAAAAAAUAUAGUAAAGAAAUGAAUGUGUAUAUCCAAAUAAAAAGAGAGAGAAAGGGAAACUUCUUGUAAAUAUAUUAACCAAUGGUUAGACGACGUAUAUAUGGUAAUUAACCUUUGUUAUAUUUUAAAAUUCAUUUAAAAAUAAAUACAUAAAAAUCUCUUAAAUUGGUAAGUAAUCUUAAGAGGAUUCUUUCUUUUUAUUAAACACAAAGACAAAAAGCCAGAGAAAAAAAAUCCAAAUCUGAACACCUGUAUUGCCGAUGCCAUUUCAAGAGAAUGGGCCCCACCAUUUUGACCGUUUUUUCCGUCCCACGAUAUUACUCAAAAGAUUUUCAAUUUUAGAAAAUAAUAACAAAUUAUUGUUUUUAAUUUAAGAAUUUAUCAUUAUCUCAUUUAUUUAGUUUAAUUUUAAAAUAUUUUAAAAUUUAAUUAAAUAUUGAUGUGUUAUAUACGUGGUAAUCUACAUGUAUGUUAUGUAAUAAAAUUAACAAACACUAAUUUUUCCAUCCAAUUUUAGGUGAUUUAACAAAAAAAAAUACGAGUUCAAUGGUUAAAAGAGGCGAAAAAUUAAAUAGAGGGUUAAAAUGUAAUUUUUAUAAAGUUUGAAGUCCAAAAAUUUUUUUAUGCCUAUGCAAAACAUCAUCAUCCAUCAAAAUUAAGGUUAUAAAAUGUAAAAGGCAAGUCCUUGUUUUGACUAAAUAAUUGUUAUGUUAGCUCAAUAAAAAAUGCACCUUUCUUAUUUUUUACUGAAAAUAUUAACUUCAACUUUGGGUAUAUAUAAAUUUUUAUGAAUUCAUGAAGUUGAAUUUUAAGGAAAGCUAAUUUAAAGUAACAUGGAUUCAUUUGAACAUGGAUUCAUAUGAUACAUAGUAUAAAUUAUAAAUAAAUCGCUACAAAAUUAACUAUAACAAUGAAACAAUUGCAUCAACUUUAUCAAAUUAUUGAAAUUUACACCCUUUCCGGUAUCAUCAUCAAAUAAACUUGACACACCAUAUCGGAAAUGCACAAAAGGCCAAGUCUCAGAUGACUUAUCCUCAUCCUCAUCAUCUCGGAUCUAUCAUCAUCACUAUGAUCUAUCAUGAUAAAGCGUUUCGAGAACAAAUCUUAAAUGAUCUGGCAACACCCUUAGAUUGACAAACUUCACAUAUGCCAGGACAUGACUGAAAAUAGAAAGAAAAAAUACAACCACAUCUGUUUUCAAAGAAAACAGAGUGGAAAAAACAAAAAUCACAAAAAAUGUAAACAAAAUAAAACUACAAAAUUGUGGACAAAACUGCGAUAAUGUGGACUGAAAUUAAAAAAAUAGAACUACAAAAGAUAUUGAAGAAACCGUGAUCAACAACCUACCCAAAAGCCAACGUUGCCGAUGAAACAAAGAUUUAAUUUGAAAAAGUUGAGAGUCUAGGGCUUUUCUAUGGAAAGAAGUGAGAAAGAAGAGAGAGGGAAAUAUUUGCCAUUAGUUUUAAAUAGUAUGUAUUUAAAUUGACUCGAUUAAAACUUUCAUUUUUUUUUGGUGAAAAAUGAUAAACAGAAAUACAACGUAACAACUACUGAAAGGCUCUAGAAGCUUUGUCUUGUUAGAUAGUCGUAACCACCAAAUCAAGAGGUACUUUAAAGAUCUGAAGGGAAGUCUAACAAAAGAGACUAAUCUUUGCCAAUUGAUCUGCAAUUAAAUUACACUACUAGGAACAUACUUGGCUUCUCGCUGACUAUCAGAGCACAAAAAACGUUUAACUCUUCUAAGCAAGGCAAUACCGGAGUCCACUAACUCCUCCAUGGAUAAGACCGUAAUCACCUCAAGGUUAUCUGUCUAAAUCAUGACUUUCUUUUAGCUAUUAUUUAAAAAAAAUGAGAAUUCCAUCAAGAAUACCCUAAAGUUCUGCCUCCAAAGGCGAACAUCUACCCAAAUAAUGAUUAAAGCCCAAAAUCCAAUUGCCAACCUGAUCACGAAUCACCCCACUCACAGAUGCAUUUCUAGAAGCUCUAGCCACUGCUCCAUCAGAAAAUAAAUAGAUCCAAUUGUCUUCAUAAUGGGAGUGAAUUUCCCAAUUGGUUGAGUUAGGCUUGGCCUCAUUUAGAAAAGGUUCAAAUAGUUUGGCCCAAUUGAGAGAGACUUUUACAAUUUCAUAAGUCGUCCAAUUAAUGUUUUGGAAGAUGAAAAGAUUCCCAUUCUUCCAAAUUCUCCAAGAAAUUAAUCCAAAUAAGCAUGACCAAGUAAUUCCCUUAUCUUGCAUCUUAAAAUGAAAACCAAGGUUAGUGGAAAACCAAUUUUCAAGGGAAUCAGAAAAAAACCUGGAUUGCACAAUGCCCUUAGUAUCAGAGAACAGUCUCAGAGAACAUGCACAAUGUCCUUAGUAUCAUGACCACAUAAUGAGCACAUGCAUAAUGUCCUUAGUAUCAUGACCACAUAAUGAGCACAUAUUGUUUUGCCCAAUUCCUCUCUUAGCGCGUUCUGAAUUAGUAAGAAGCCUCUGUUUUACAACAAGUCAUAGAAAAAGGAGGACUUCUUGUGGGCCUUGAUAUUUCCAAAUAGGCUUCCAAAAAUCAUCUUUAGGACUCCAAGAAUCUUCUUUUAAAACCCAGUAAGCAUUACGAACAGAAAAAGACCUGAACCGGAUCAAGCCCAAAUGAUCCUAUCCUCACCACCAGCAAAAUGAGGAGGGCGCAUACUUACUAUACGCUUUAUCACGUCAUCAGGUAGCCAAGUAUGAAGCAAAUCAAUAUUCCAAGAACCACCAAGAAGAACCCAAUCCCUUAAAUUACUCUCCAAAUCUAGGCUUGCAUGCACUGGGACAUAAGAAAAAAGAGGACUAACUUUCGGUACCUAAGAAUCUUUCCAACCACGAAUUGUAGAGCCAUCACCUACAGACCACAUGAGAUUCUCAUAAAAAAAAGGUCACACCUUAGAAAGGGAACGCCAAAGAUGAAAGCAUUGAUUUCUGUGAAUAUAAUUUGGAAGCUGAUUCUUCCAACCAUAUAAGUUAAACCGUUAUAAGUUAAUAAAGUCAAUGGAAUUUAUUUUAACUUAUUGAUGUAUAUGUUAAAAUAAAACGGUUUUUUCAUAUUUAAUCGAUAAAGUACUAGUUGUUUUAUUCAAAAUAAUUAAUAGAACAGAAGAACAUUAAUCUAGAUUCGACUGUUGUGGAAGACGACAAAUAAUACAUAUAAUUAUAUCAAUUUUUUAGUAAAUUCAUUUAAUAUACUUCCACCAAAACCUUAAUUUAGUCGAAAUCCUUUUUUGUCGAUUAUGGUUUUUUUUCUUGUUUUCAUAGUAUCUAAUUUGACACGAUCAAAACCCUAAUUAAGAUCAAGAUUAUAAAGUCAACCAAGUCAAGAGGGUUUAUGUUAACUUUUUCAUGCAUAUAAGUUAAGAUAAAGGUUUUUUUAUUCAAAUUUGAUAAAAAAGAAGUAGUGGUUUUAUUCAAUAAUUGAUAGAACAUAAGAACAUUAAUUAAGAUCCGAUCAUUGUGAAAAAUAUUUUCCUCUAAAAGCAUUGAAUAAGACCACAUUGUCUUACUCCACCAACACAAUCUAAUCUUACAGAUGUCAAACAACAAAUGAAUGUUGAGAUGUUUACCAUUAAAGCAGGGGUGAAAAUAAAAACUUUUUAUUGGAAGGCGAAGAUUGAAUUUUUUGGGGGGGAUCUUUAGCAUUUAAUUAAUUGUAAAGUUCACAAAUUUAAAUGAUUAAAAGAGAAAUUUUACCAAGCCAAAGGGGGCCAAGGACCUUGCCUGCCCCCUUGGUGCCACUCUUGUAUUAAAGACAAUCUCGUUUUGAUAAAUCCAAAUAGACUAUGAAAUAACAAAGAAAGACAUUUUCCAAAUAUGCCUAGUUCGUUGGAAAUAAAAAUUUUGUAGCCAAGUUUGAAAAAAAGAUAGUUGGAUCCUUUGGAAAAACCAAAUGAAUACUCCAAAUAGCGCAACACUUUUGCAAUAACCUCCAUGAAACAUCACACUCAAUAAACAAGUGAUCAAUCGAAAUUGAACUUGCAUGAUAGAAAGUGCAAGUCGUAGAAUUAAAGAGGAAUAGCCCCUCUUAGCUAGCUCAUAUUUUGUAGGAUGCCUACCAUAAAGUAAUCGUCAUACAAACAUUUCCACCUUAAGUUGGUCAAUCUAGACUUUGUUUCCACCAAUUAUUCUUGUAACACGAUCCGAGCUAUGAAAUGCUAUAUUCGCUUUCGGAACAACCAUAAUCAAUCAGACAACACAAUCAUUUAUACAUGAAAUCAAGAGUUUAUCAUAUUCAAAAUUAUGUUAAAUGACCAAUUCUGAAUCUUAAUCGAGCUUAUGAAAGCUCUUUAGACAAUCCGAGUACGAAACAUGACCAAUUUGCAAAGUUCAGACAAGACACUAUUGACAUGCCAAUCGUAUCCUAACAUUUACUAAGUUCACAAGGGCAUCUUUAACACAUGUAAACAUUUUUUUUCAAUUUAGUCCAAUUCUAGCCUUUUGAACCAAUUCACAACUAAACACAUAUAUAAUUACAAAUCAAAUGUACAAAAACCUAUAUAAACAAAUACCAUAUGAACUUAUCUGAUUAAAACAACAAACAAAUUGAAUCUUCAGGGACUAAUCGACAAUUUUGUCUUUUUCUCGAUUGUCUCCGGUUUGAUCCAAUUCUUGAUCUAUACAAUUAUUCCAUUCAAUCACAUAAAAAAAAUUUACAAACACCCUCUAAUACUACGAACCUGAAGCUUCGAAAGAGACUUUUCUUGAUCAAAGUCUUCACUUUUCUUAAGGGCAUUUCCAUUCUUCUUAGUUUCACUAUUCUCCAUCAGUGUUUGCUCCUUUUUAGUACCUUUCUCACUUCUAUUGUUGUCCACCUUGUUCACCCUUUGACCUUGGUCAAACCCCUUCUCUUGAGAUUUAAAUUUUCUCCAGAAAGACGAUCUUUGAUUAAAUCUGGCCAUUCUUGUGAAGACAUGACUUCCAAACACAACAUAUCCAUUAAGCUUGGCGAUGGCUCUACGAGCUUCCAGAAACUUGGGAAACCUUACGAAGCCAAAACAUUGUCCUCUCAUACUAUGUUUUCUUGGAAUAAAAGCAUUUAUAACAUGACCGUGAUAACCAAAAAUUUUCCAUAACCCUUUCCAAAAGAGUUUUUUUUGGUAAUCUCUCCAUGAAAAUGGUUGAACACCCUUUAUUCCCUCCACAAAACCGAAACACCAUCUCAAAAUAAUCCCAAUUGCCACAUAUAAAGUAAGGUUUUUGUUUCACAUUGGAUUAGAAAAGUACUAAUUUCUUUAAUCAAAAUAAUUAAUAGAACAUAAGAACAUCAACCAAGGUUCAAUCUUUUUUUUUGUCGAAACCAGGAUAUCCACUGCCAAUAGUGGUGACUAAUACUUUCACCACAGGUGCUCUCCAAAGAGGUAAACGACUGGCCAGGAAAUGUACUCUGUUCCCAUGGGCAGGGAUCAAACCCCCGACCUCAUGGUCAUGGAGGAUCCGAUCGUUUUGAAAAACAACAAAAAAUAGAUACAUUAAUAUUAAUUUUUGAAGUAUAAAUUAAUUUAAUGUGAUUUGACCGAAAUCUUAAUUUAGAUCAAAUUCUUUCUUUACCGAUUAUAUUUCUUUAUUUGUUUCCAUAGUAUUGAUUUGACUCGAUCAAAGCCCUAAUUAGGAUGAACAUUAAAAGAUUAAAAUUCAAUUAAACUUAUUGACAUAUAUGUGUUAAAAUAAAAGUACUUUUAUUCACAUCCUAUCAGAAAAGUACUAGUUGAUUUAUUCAAAAUAAUUAAUAGAACAUGAGAACAUUAAUCAAGGUUCGAUCAUUCUGAAAAACAGCAAAAAAUGUAUACAAUUAUUUUAAAAUUUGAAGUACAAGUUCAUUUAAUUUGAUUCGACCGAAAUCGUAAUUUAGAUGAAAUUCUUUUUUUUUUGAAUUUAUUUUUUUAUUUGUCUUCAUAAUAUAGUAUGUAUUUGGUUUAACUUAAUCAAAACCCUACGUAAAAUUGACAUAAAUAUGUUAAAAUAAAAUGAGGAAGGAAUGCACAUGCUAGGGUUUUAUGGCCAAAUGGGAAAUCCUUCACCAUUCCAGCCAACAAGUGAGUGACAUAAUUCACCUCCCUUGGAAUCUGUUCAAAACCAACUCUCCAUUCAUGACUACAUAACUCCCGAAUUUUUAGAACCAAAUUUCUAUGUAAAUACCCUAUCAAACCACCAUUGAUACUUUAAUAGCAAGUGUGCAAUCUGUUUCAAUAUCUCUCCAUUUAGCAUCCCAUGCCAUAAUAAGACCGUCGUAAAUUACCCAUACCUCCGCUUACUCAACACUAUACCUGUCGAUAUUUCUACCUAUUCUACACACCCAAUUAUUGUACUCAUCUCUCGCCACUACUGCCGAGGCUAGUAAACCUGAAACUGGACUACAAGUACCAUCGAUAUUCAAUUUAAUGAAUCCGGAAGGAGGUGAAACCCACAUUCGAUUCCCAUGGUAGGAUAAUUAUUUAAAUAUAUGCUUAAAAUAUAUAGGCAACUCUAUUAAUUGUGUUUGAAAACUUAAAAAAAAAAUACUAACCAUUACAAAUAUCAUAAAAGGAAGGUUGGUGAGAAAAAAAGGAAAGAAAAAAAUGCAUGCAAAAACAGUUCUGAUAAUUUUAAAUACAAUAUAAUUAUAAAACAAUGUGAAAAAUUUAUAAAAAAUAUAAAUACAGAACAAAAUAUAUAAAUAAUUAUAAUUUUUCAGUGAAGACUAAAGAGGGUCUGGAAUUUCAAACACGUGAGGAAAACAUGGUUCGUAGUUUGGUUUUCCUUUGGUUGGGAUCACAAUUCUUAAACAACAACUCCCUUCCAUAGAAGUUGUAGGCCCCACCUUUUCCUUCCUUUUUUUUUCUUUCUUGUUAAAAAUAAUUUUAAAAAAAUUACAAUUUUAAAUAUUUUUUCUUUCAGUUAUAAAUUCACUUCUCUUUCACCCAUUUUUUUAUAAGCUCUCUCUCUCUCACUCUGUAAGUGAAUAUAAACUAUAGCUAGAGAAAGAGAGAAUUUGAAGCAAAUUGAGCUUUUGUUUUGUUAAUUUAAUCCCCGAAUAGCUAAAAGCUUCAGCCCCUUUGUUAUCCAAUUUGUAAGCCCUUUUUUCCGUUUCUUUUAUGAUGGUUUGUGGAUUCUUUUUCAACUUUCUCAUUUUCAUUGUUAAAGCUUAUGGUUUCUUUUUCUUUUUUUCUUUUUGUUUUUUUAUUGAAUUUCUCUUUAAGGGCAGCAUCUACUAUAAAAUGAGAGCAAACCCUUUUUUUAUUAUUUGAAAUGUAUUGAUUUUAGUGAAGGGUAGAUCGUUUAUCUUGGUUACAUUUUGGAGCUAAAUUUAGAUUUGAUUUUCACUGUUUAUUGUCAAAAGAUGUGGCAUGUGAUUGACUCUUGAUGAGUUUUCUUUCCUUUUCUCACGGUUUCUUAACUUUAUAUGUGUUCAUAGAAGUGAAAUAAAAAGAUAACAUCUUUUGGAUAAUUAUCAUUUCUCAUUCAUGUUGUAGAUUUUAAUUUUCAAGUUAUUUCUGCUUUGUAAAGAGCAUCAAGUUGUAAGUUUUAUCAUAUUGUUUGAUUUUUUAAUUCUUGGUUUUGAUUACUAGACUAUUCUUGUUAUAAGACUUGCUUUUGAUGAUAAGCAUUAUUUUGUAUUUUUUUUUGUGAUAAUUUUUUUUUUGGCUUUGUUUGGGUUGAUAGAAGUGUGCUAUUCCUUUUCUUCUAAAUUGAGUUUUUUUUCUUGAGAUUAGCAUGAAUAGUGUAUUUCAGCUCUCCUGUAAUUAAUUUCUGCAGGGCUUUUAUAAUAAUUUUUUGUUGCAUUUUAUGGAAUUCUAUGAUAUGUGAAUUGAUGCAUUUCCUAUAAAAAUUAUUCGAUGCAUUUCCUAUAAAAAUUAUUCUCUCUCUCUCUUUAUAUAAUAUUUUUAUAUUUCAUGUAAUGACUGAUCAAGUUUACAUAUUAUUAUCAUGAAGAACAAAAAGGAAGGUUUCUGGUUCUCUCACAAAGCUAGAACUAGUAAGAAGACGAAGAAGAUCUUAUGGCGAAAAGGGGUGUCAAAGUACUCAAAGGUGACGAGAAGAAGGAAAAAAGGGAGGAUAUGUGGCUUGCCCAAAUUGGCCAACGAGAAAACCACCGCUAUGCUUCAGACAAUUCAGAAUCAAGUUUACUGAUCCAUCAGCUUGGGCGAGACAUCUCGAUUAACUGUCUCCUCCGUUGCUCAAGGUCUUAUUAUGGCAUCAUUGCAACUUUGAAUACGGGUUUCCACUCUCUUAUACGGAGUGGUGAGCUGUACAAGUUGAGGCGACAAAUGGGAAUUGUCGAACAUUGGGUUUACUUCUCCUGCAACCUUUUGGAGUGGGAGGCUUUUGAUCCAAUCCAUCGUCGAUGGAUGCAUAUGCCUAAAAUGCAGGCCUAUGAAUGUUUCAUGUAUUCUGAUAAGGAGUCAUUGGCUGUUGGAACCCAACUUCUGGUUUUUGGAAAAGAAAUAAUGUACCCUAUUGUCUAUAAAUAUAGCAUUUUGACGCACACAUGGACAACCGAGAUGAGGAUGCAUACACCCAGGUGCUUGUUUGCAUCUGCUAGUCUGGGUGAGAUCGGAAUUAUAGCUGGUGGUUGUGAUCUGCGUGGAAAUAUUUUGAGCUCAGCAGAGCUUUAUAAUUCUGAAACUGGCAGGUGGGAGACCAUUCCAAGAAUGAAUAAGGCUAGAAGAAUGUGUUCUGCGGUGUUCAUGGAGGGGAAGUUUUAUGUUAUUGGUGGCAUUGGGGUUGAGAGUUUGAAGACAAUAACAUCCGUAGAGGUGUAUGAUUUGAAGACCAAGACUUGGAGUGAGAUACCUAACAUGUACCCUACACCAAACGAGGGGGCUGGACCAACAGAAGAACCUCUUACAGCUGAGGCACCUCCUCUAGUGGCAGUUGUGAAUGAUGUGUUGUAUGUAGCUGAUCAUGUACUGAAGCAAGUGAAGAAAUAUGACAAGGAGAAGAACUUGUGGGUAACGGUAGGGCCAUUCCCUGAGCGUACAACCUCAAUGAAUGGGUGGGGGAUAGCAUUUAGGGCAUGCGGGGAUCAGCUAAUGAUUAUUGGAGGACCUAGGGUUUUAGGUGCAGGGUUUGUUGAGAUCUACUCUUGGGUCCCAAAGGAGGGGCCACUAGAAUGGAACUUGGUCGCCAGAAAGCCCUCUAGCAGUUUUGUGUAUAACUGUGCCGUCAUGGGAUGCUGACAUGUGCAUCUAGUUUCGGUGGCACCCUGGUUUUGCAUAAAGUCUUUUUCUGCUACAACCCACAGACACAGUCAUAAGAGGAGGUUUGAAGAUUUCGGCCCUUCUUAGUUUUAUUAUGUUUUGUAACUUUCCUUCCAUUUUCUUUGUUGUUCCUUUUGUUGAGUGGUUGCCAUCAGGGUUUGUUAAAGUUUGUGUUAUGUAGAACAAAGCAUAGUUCCAUAACAAAGUCCAAUUACAUUUUAGACUGUUUUCAAUGUUAAGGAAGUUUCUUUCGACCAAAUAUUAGUCUCGAGCAAUUAUUGAACACACACAUAUUUAUAACAGUUUACCCAUUCCAUACUCUUUUCCUCUAGGGAAAGAAAAAGAUAGAAAAGAUGUAUGAUCAUGAAAAGCUUAAUCCUUUCCUCCAGUGAGAGGGAGCAGUAGCGGGAGGGAGAAGAUGGAGAGAGAGACCGGGGGGGGAGGGACGUUUUGUUAAUAUAAUUUUUUAAUUAAUUUUUAAAAUUUUUAGUAUUUUUUUCAUUCAAUAUUAAUAUAAAGUUUGCCUCAUAUUAUAUUUUAGUCACUUAUAUUUGAAAUGUUAGAUUUUAGUCACGUAUGUUAUGGUUUUAUUACCCCCUAAACAACAAUCCGACAUGGAAGAUAAAAUGGGUUUUAAAUGCCAACGUGGAUAUUCACUCAAGUAAAUUAAAUGAUUUUUUAAUUAAUUAAAUUUAAUUAAUUAAAUUUUCUAAAUUAAUUAAAGGAAAAUGUUAAUUAGGGUUCUCGAAAUAAUCAAAACGAAUGCAUCAGAUUAAUCAUUGAAUUGGAAGAAAAAAAACUCUUUGUCUCAUUUAUUCUUAGUUUUCGUUUCCAUUUUGAUUGAAAAAUCAUCUAUUUUCAUAGUCAUCUUUGUUAAAUCGAAACAAUAGAAAUAAAAGUGAGUGCUCCAUCAAUCGAUUGAAGUUUUUAUUCAAAACAAAAGAACAAAGGAUUGGUUCGAUGGAGGGUCCAAACAUGAAUUACAGUAAGUAAUGAGUUUUUUUUUUUUUGGUUAUUUACUUGAAUUUUGGGUUUAGAUAUUAUGAUUUUAUUUUAUUUUUGCAAAAAUAUGGUCCAUCUUUUCAUGUUUUUCUGUAGAUAUGAUAGACAAAAAAAGAGAUGCUUUAUUUUUGUUUAUUUAUGUAUUGUAGGCAACCACAAUCGCAAGCAAUUAGUAUAGAGGUUGGUGCGUCCAUUUCUUCUUCUUCUUCUUCUCUAUAGUUUUGCUCUUCUCUUAUCUUCUCUGACUGUAACAAAGAAAACUCAACUAUUGCUUCUUUUUAAACUGGAGAAAAUUGAGUUUUAGGGUAAAAUUUUGUAUUCUAUUUUCAUAAAAAAAUUAACUUUUCUCAUUCCAGUUGGACAUCUGCGUUGGCAUUUAAAACCCAUUUUAACUGUCACGUCGGACUGCCUUUUGGGAUGUAACAGAUCUUAACUGUAGAGUGACCAUUUUGAAACAAAAUGAUAACGUAAGUGACUAAAAUGUAACCCGAGACAAACAAAAUUGACUAUUUUAAUAGUUUACCCGAUUUUUUAAUGAUACGUAUCAUUUUCUAAUUGACUAUAAAAUCAACCUUAAUUAUGGAAAUAAAAUUGAUCUAGUUUCAACCAAAAAAAUAAUAUCAAUUGCAUGAAUACAUUUUCUUUUUAUAUAUUAAGUAAUUAAUGGUUCUUUGAAAUAAUUUUUUUAACACAAUAUCUAGAAUUAUCUAUAGCCCUCUUCAACUCAUAAAUAGGAGGAUAAUACAUUUCAGCACACUCGAACCCACAUCCUCCUGCAUUGGGAACAAUAUCCAUGGUAAUCGAAUUAAGACUCAAUUUGAAUAUUAACAUUUUUAUUAUAGUCAUUUUAUUUUUUAUUUUCAAUUUAAAAAAAAAUAAAUUUGAGUAUAUCAUCGAAACUUUGAAAAUGUAAGGGUAAACUACAAUCACCGCGCUCCCUUUACUUCAAGCAUAACCACCGUACAAACUAAGAAUUUAACAAAAUAAGCAAAUCUUCUCCUGAUUUCUAUCUAACCAGAGACGAAAAUCCAUGCCUCUCUUGCGUGUAUGUGUGUGUGUUUCCAGUUUGUGCUUCUUGAUGGUGAGGGUAUUAUGUUUUUUUUCCUGGUUUAUGUCAUUCUAACACACAUACAAUCAAGAGUUUUCUGGAAAACUAUGAUACCUUGCAAAAGUAUGAGUUUUUGAGUUUUGCUUGCAGUUUUGACAUAGGGAUACCUGCUUCACUCCUUUCUAUUUUCUUUUUUGUGAGAUUAAAUUUCUCUUUUUUCUUUGCAUGCAUUUCCUUUUAAAAAAUAUGAAUCUAGAAAGAUUUAGAAUUUCUUUUUACCUAAAGCUUAAGUUUUUCCUUAUAUAUUUUAUGAUGGUUUUUAUUGGGUUUUAAAUCUCCAAUUUUUUUUUUUUAAAUAGCAGUAUUUUUCUUGAAUUUGUUUUUAGAUUUUUCUUUUUUCUUUGCAUGCAUUUUUUGGCGUCACCACUUCUUAACAAGUCAACGCUUUUUUUUAUUUUAUUUUAAAAAUAUAUUAUUUUAGUUGUUUUUUUUUACUUUUUAAAUUAAAAAAUGUUAUUUUAGUUUAAGAAUAAAAAAUAGUAUUUAAUUUGGUAGAGUCCUUAAGAAUGAUGUCACCAAUGUUAUAGGUGUUUUUUUUAAAUGUAUUUUUUUAAUUAAAAAUAAAAAAAUGAUAUUUUGUUCAAGACCCACAGUAUUGUGUCUUACAACAUUAUGUCUUAUAAAUAAAACAUAAUUAAACGAUUUUGUUCAAAACCGACAACAUUGUGUUUUACAAAUUGAAAAAUACAAUGUUUAACCGCAAGUCAACCAAGCAAGUUUCUCAGUGCUAUUAAAUUGUAGUCUGGAUGCUGUCGAUAUUGAUGAUCUCACCCGUGUGGUUCGAUUUGGGAUUCCUUAAAACCUUCAAACAUCCCAUUGACAGAAGGAAUCCCAAAUAAUCCACCCGUCGUUGGCUGUAUAACCAAUUUGAACCCUUUACUAUCUUAACAUAGCCAAUGGAACACUUACAUAACCAAUUUGAACUCGUUACCAAAUAAAUAACUGGUAUCCAAAAAUAACCAUUAAAUUUAUCGGUGUCGAAGCUCCACUAGAUUAUCAUUAAACAAAACUUACCUUCAAAGUAAAAAAAAUCACUAAAUAAACAAAUACAUAAAUACAUAAAAAAAAUGCUCAUCAUCUCUCCCAUUCAUCCUCUAACAAAAUAUAAGUAAAAAAAAAAAAAAAAAGUUUCCUUCAACUGAGAUUGAUCUGCAUUGAGGGUUAUAUAUAACAAUUUAGUCAUGCCAAAGAAAAUUGUUCUAUCAAGUAAAAUAUUAUUUUUUUAUAUUUAAAUUAAUAAAAAAUAAAAAAAUAAAAAAAGGUACCGCGCACAUUAGUGGCGCCAUUUUAAAUGGAGCCACCCAAUAAAAUAAUAUAUAUUUUAAUUAAAAAAAGGCGUCUAACAUGUGAAAAAGUGGUAGCGUAAUUCUUAAUGGCUCCAUAAAAAAAAUUAUAUUUUAAAAGCCCCCAAUUUUUUAGAAAUAGCAGCAUUUCCCUAGUAUUUAUACAGGUGAAGCCAUUUUACAUGGCUCCACCAAAAAAUGAAUUUUUUGUUGAGUUUGUUGAUGUGACAUGUUGGCGACGCCAAACUUUUUGGCUCCAUCAAUUUUUACUGUAAAUUUCAAGUUAUUUACAUGUAUGUAAUUAAUCAAAAUUUUAAUUUCAUUCGUAAAAGAAUUUCUAUAUAGAGAAUUUACUUACUCAAUUUAUGUCGAGUUUUGAUAUGUGGCUGAAUGGGACAAAUAAAUGACACGGAAGAGAGGAAACAAGCACAAUAGACAGAAGUAUUUGAGCGUUUCUAGAUUUCACUGCUUAGAAGAGUGUUUUUUCUUUCUACAAUCUACCAAUCCAUUGGCAUAUCCCAUGGCUAGUGGGAGUUUAAAACUAGUAUUACUUAUAACAUUAAACAAAUACAAUAUUAACUCAAAUGAUUGAAUUAACUAACCAAAACCCAGAAGAAAGAAGAAUUAUUCAAACCCAUACUAAUAAACUAUGAUUUAAAAAUAAUAUUAAAAAUUAAGAUAGUGAUGGUCCCUUUAGGUCCAAUAUCAAGCCCAAUUUAAAGUCAACCCGGAGUUGGGUUGACCCGAUACCCAUCCAAAUUCGACUCGUUUCUUUCUUUUGCUAACAAUCCACUCAGUAUCUCCUCCAUGGAAGCAUCGAAUCCGUCCAUCUGCUCCACUUUGUCUCUCAUCUCCAUCCAAUCCUGAACAUCGAAAUUCCCUAUUUACCCUCCUCGCCCUAUCAAAUUUCCCCCAUCGCCCGAAUUUUCCAUGGCUUGACCCGGAAAUCCGACUCAAAUGGACUCUCUGCAAAGUCUCCCUCCACUAUCGACUCUGUCCACCUCAGUUUCCUCCGCCCUCAACGCUAAACUCGGC